This 1820-nucleotide long non-coding RNA is filed under the name Musa acuminata (dwarf banana). RNAcentral's name for it is "long non-coding RNA (MACU_LNC009682)". Lineage: Eukaryota; Viridiplantae; Streptophyta; Magnoliopsida; Zingiberales; Musaceae. The record is from RNAcentral.
UGAUCAUAGCUCAAUCGAUGAAAAGAUGAGGAUUGUGAUAUCUUUAUUUCCUCCUCCUGCUCUUAAAUAGUUUCAUCAAUACAAUACAAUUACAUAAUUAUCCACGAGUGACCGAAAUAUUCUCCUCCUUGAUCCUCAAUAGACGGUAACCCGACCUUCAAUCAAUUUCUAAAAAUACUUGCGCACCCUACAGUUAAUCAAGCAAAUCGUUACUCCAGAAAAUACUCAUUUUUUAUGGUCACCUAAUUCAACUAUCUAUAAUCAUUACAAAGCCUCAAUGUUCCAUACAUCUUUUUAACUAACACCGGAGCACCCCAUGAUGAAAUAUUAAGCCAAAUAAAAUCCUCAUUUAAUAAUCCUUGUAGUUGCUUUUCCAAUUCCACUUACUCAAAUGAUAUCUUUCUGUAGAGAGGCUUAGAUAUUGGGAUUGUCCCAAGGACCAAAUCAAAAGCAAGAUCACAUUUGGAGAUAAUCCAAACAAGUCAUCCUGGGAUACAUUAGGCAAGGAGAUAAAUAAUGUGCAACACUCUCAAAAUAAAAGAUCGGCUGAUCAAAUAUGCAAAAAGUGAUCAUUGGUUAUAUACCAAUCCAUACUGGUAUGAUAGGAAGAUAGCCAAUCCAUACCAAGUAUAAUAUCAAAACUCCAAAUCUCUAGGAGAACUAAAUCAGCAAAAGUUCAAGUUCUCCAAUAAGAAUCAGACAAGAGGACCAGAUUCAAGUUCGUUAUCAAAGAAUCUCCAAUGAUCAUAUUUACAUAUAGCACAUAAUGCGGUGGUCUAGGUUGAAUACCCAUGUGAUAAGCAAAAUAUUACGAAUCAAAUCGUAGAUGGGACUCAUGGUCAAACAAAUAUUUGCAUUCUUUCAUAAACAUGCAUAAUACCUUCGAUCACUAAUUCAUAAGUUUUAGAAUCAUAUUCAGUAAUAGUAUACACUCUAACAUGGGCUGAUGAUUUAUGAGGCAGUGACUCUUUCUUCUUGUUCAAGGGGCAGUCUUUUAUUUUAUGAUCCAACUUUCCACAAACAAAAUAGACUCCAGUCAUUUGAAAACACAAACUUGUUUCAUAAUUUAACUUGCAAUUCACACCUGAUUGAGUCUUUUGUGGUGACUUCCCAUUUCAAAUCCAAAUGUCUUAACCCUCUUGUUAUUACUUUCUAAUUCAUUUCCAAUCAUAUUUUUAUUGAUAAACUUGUCCUUAUCAUUCUUGCCACUGAUCUCCAAAAAUUCUCUUUCUUUUUUUUUUUUUUUUUUUUCAUUGUUCCCAUUAAUAAUUAGCCUCUACUUCCAAUAUAAGGUGGCAAAAGAAAUCUUUCGAUCAUCAGAAUAAUUUUGUACAUCAUAUAUCUUUUCUAUUCGCAUCAUCCAUUUUUCUGCCACCAACGAAAUUAGGUUCACCACGCUUCUACUGCGUCACUCUGAUUCAAUAUCCCCGAUCAAUCCUUUCAUUCCCCUUAAUUAAUCAGAAACAAAUGAAAUAGGAGGACCAAAUAUCCUCAUCAUCCUAGAUUCUUAAAAUACCUCAAAGAAAAUUUCCACCAAUCACUAUAGUUCACUAGACCUCAAUAUAUUUUGCACGUCAACAUAUCAAAUAUUUCAUUAAUCCUCAAACCAUGCUCUGAUACCACCUCUGUCACGCCCCUCAAUUAUAUCCAUGAUUUUUAAAAAUUUCGUCACAGACCAAUCCAGGAUCCAAACUAACGUUUGAGGACACUGAAAAACAUUCAAUCAAAUUCACAUCCAUAAAACCUGUGUAUUUUAAAAUCAUAUAUCACAUCACUCGAUAAUUCACAUUUAUGGUAACCCAAGCCAACUUGACAAACAU